UUGCCAACUUUCCAUGAGCCUCUCCCUGCAUGAGAAGAGACUGGGAUGUUGUAGGAGGCACCCUAUGUCCUCUGGAAAGAGUUGCUACGGGCAUGGGGAUUUUUGUUUGUUGGCUAUUUGAGCACGGAGGUGGAACAAGAAAGGCAGGAGGAGAAGUAAAGGCAGGAAAGGGUGGCACAUACAUCAGCAAAACAAAAGAUUUCCAGAAACCAAAACAGAUUUCAGCUUACUUCACUGUCUAGGACUCCAUCACAUGAACUCCUCUGUUCUAUGACCGUCCUAUUACAUGAGGCACAGCCACUGGGAAUAAGGUUGAAAUGGAAAGAAAAUCUAUUGACAAAACCUCAUCCUUUCCAGCUCCUUCCUAUCCC
RNAcentral lists this long non-coding RNA (371 nucleotides) under Chinchilla lanigera (long-tailed chinchilla). Its description in RNAcentral is "lncRNA (ENSCLAG00000027549.1)". The record is from RNAcentral. Lineage: Eukaryota; Metazoa; Chordata; Mammalia; Rodentia; Chinchillidae.